CCGAUCGAACGUUACAGCAAGAGCGGAAGGAGGCGACAGAAGGUUGCGACGAUCCGUGGCAGACCGGGGGGGGGGCGUGGAACGUUGGGAGCCCCCAGUGGAACCCUGCGACGGUCUAGUGGUGUCGGGAGGGCGGGGAUGGAACCUUGCAACAUGGUGGCGGCGGGAGGGACCCACGCGGGAUCGAGGGCUCACAACCUGCCCCGUCCCCGCACCUGCGCGAUCGCUCAAACGGGCGGGCGGCUGCUGCUGGAAGCAUGACUCGCCCCCCAACAGGAGGGGGAAGGGAUCCCUUUGGAAACAAAGAAGAUGAUCUAACAACUUAUGUGGCUGCAAACCCCCCAGCAUAACAAGAACCAGUUGUUAAAAGCCAGACAAAUUCCAGCUGGAAAUAAGGAACGGGUUUUUCUCCCUGAGGCUGAUUAACCAUUGAGACAAACUGCCUGGGGAAGUGUUGGUUGCUCCUCUCCAUGACUUCCAGUCAAGCCAGGAUGCCUUUUGAGAUGUUAUUAGAGUCGGUGCAGGGGGACCAGGGUGAACUCACUGGUCUGGGUUACAAGGAGGUCAGACUAAAUGAUGGAAUGGUCCCUUCUGCGGUUGGAUGGUCUGAAGCUGAAUUUUGAACAUGCAGAUGAUUGACAA
Long non-coding RNA from Mauremys mutica (yellowpond turtle), 642 nucleotides. RefSeq lists it as uncharacterized. The record is from RefSeq and is a predicted model, not a curated record. The transcript is spliced from 2 exons. Lineage: Eukaryota; Metazoa; Chordata; Testudines; Geoemydidae.